CUCCGCCUGGGGAGUACGACCGCAAGGUUGAAACUCAAAGGAAUUGACGGGGGCCCGCACAAGCGGUGGAGCAUGUGGUUUAAUUCGAAGCUACGCGAAGAACCUUACCAGGUCUUGACAUCUUGCGCCAACCCUAGAGAUAGGGCGUUUCCUUCGGGAACGCAAUGACAGGUGGUGCAUGGUCGUCGUCAGCUCGUGUCGUGAGAUGUUGGGUUAAGUCCCGCAACGAGCGCAACCCUUGUUACUAGUUGCCAGCAUUAAGUUGGGCACUCUAGUGAGACUGCCGGUGACAAACCGGAGGAAGGUGGGGACGACGUCAGAUCAUCAUGCCCCUUAUGACCUGGGCUACACACGUGCUACAAUGGACGGUACAACGAGUCGCGAACUCGCGAGGGCAAGCAAAUCUCUUAAAACCGUUCUCAGUUCGGACUGCAGGCUGCAACUCGCCUGCACGAAGUCGGAAUCGCUAGUAAUCGCGGAUCAGCAUGCCGCGGUGAAUACGUUCCCGGGCCUUGUACACACCGCCCGUCACACCAUGAGAGUUUGUAACACCCAAAGUCGGUGG
Molecule: ribosomal RNA, 565 nt
Filed under: Limosilactobacillus fermentum
Lineage: Bacteria; Bacillati; Bacillota; Bacilli; Lactobacillales; Lactobacillaceae
Description: bacterial SSU rRNA
Rfam family: Bacterial small subunit ribosomal RNA
Source: RNAcentral